ACAGCUGGCGGCGUGCUUAACACAUGCAAGUCGAGCGGUAAGGCUCCUUCGGGAGUACACGAGCGGCGAACGGGUGAGUAACACGUGAGCAAUCUGCCCUUCACACUGGGAUACCCCCCGGAAACGGGAGCUAAUACCGGAUACGACCACUUCGGGCAUCCGAUGGUGGUGGAAAGUUCUGGCGGUGAAGGAUGAGCUCGCGGCCUAUCAGCUUGUUGGUGAGGUAAUGGCUCACCAAGGCUUCGACGGGUAGCCGGCCUGAGAGGGUGACCGGCCACACUGGGACUGAGACACGGCCCAGACUCCUACGGGAGGCAGCAGUGGGGAAUAUUGGACAAUGGGCGAAAGCCUGAUCCAGCAACGCCGCGUGAGGGAUGACGGCCUUCGGGUUGUAAACCUCUUUCAGCAGGGACGAAGCGAAAGUGACGGUACCUGCAGAAGAAGCACCGGCCAACUACGUGCCAGCAGCCGCGGUAAUACGUAGGGUGCGAGCGUUGUCCGGAAUUAUUGGGCGUAAAGGGCUCGUAGGCGGUCUGUUGCGUCGGGAGUGAAAACUCAGGGCUUAACCCUGAGCCUGCUUCCGAUACGGGCAGACUAGAGGUAUGCAGGGGAGAACGGAAUUCCUGGUGUAGCGGUGAAAUGCGCAGAUAUCAGGAGGAACACCGGUGGCGAAGGCGGUUCUCUGGGCAUUACCUGACGCUGAGGAGCGAAAGUGUGGGGAGCGAACAGGAUUAGAUACCCUGGUAGUCCACACCGUAAACGUUGGGCGCUAGGUGUGGGACUCAUUCCACGAGUUCCGUGCCGCAACUAACGCAUUAAGCGCCCCGCCUGGGGAGUAC
Molecule: ribosomal RNA, 839 nt
Filed under: uncultured earthworm cast bacterium
Lineage: Bacteria
Description: bacterial SSU rRNA
Rfam family: Bacterial small subunit ribosomal RNA
Source: RNAcentral